This 497-nucleotide ribosomal RNA is filed under the name uncultured bacterium. Its description in RNAcentral is "partial 16S ribosomal RNA". It matches the Rfam family "Bacterial small subunit ribosomal RNA", at positions 28 to 507 of the family's 1533-position model. The record is from RNAcentral.
GAUGAACGCUGGCGGCGUGCCUAAUACAUGCAAGUCGAGCGAACGGACGAGAAGCUUGCUUCUCUGAUGUUAGCGGCGGACGGGUGAGUAACACGUGUAUAACCUCCCUAUAAUACUGGUAUAACUUCGGGAAACCGGCUCUAAUACCGUAUAAUAUUUUGAACCGCAUGGUUCAAAAGUAAAAUACGGUCUUGCUGUCACUUCUAGAUGGAUCCGCGCUGCAUUAGCUAGUUGUUAAGGUAACGGCUUACCAAGGCAACGAUGCAUAGACGACCUGAGAGGGUGAUAGGCGACACUAGAACUGAGACACGGUCAAGACGCCUAAGAGAGGCAGCAGUAGGGAAUCUGACGCAAUGGGCGAAAGCAUGACAGAGCAACGCCGCGUGAGUGAUGAAGGUCUUCGGAUCGUAAAACUCUGUUAUGAGGGAAGAACAUAUGUGUAAGUAAAUGUGCACAGCGUGACGGUACCUAAUCAGAAAGCCACGGCUAACUACGUG